GGAGAGGUGCCAGAGUGGUUGAAUGGGCUCGACUCGAAAUCGAGUAAGGGGGUGAUGAACCUUCUUCGUGGGUUCAAAUCCCACCCUCUCCUCCA
Molecule: transfer RNA, 95 nt
Filed under: Bacillota bacterium
Lineage: Bacteria; Bacillati; Bacillota
Description: tRNA-Ser
Rfam family: tRNA
About the family: Transfer RNA (tRNA) molecules are approximately 80 nucleotides in length. Their secondary structure includes four short double-helical elements and three loops (D, anti-codon, and T loops).
Source: RNAcentral